This 642-nucleotide unclassified non-coding RNA is filed under the name Nilaparvata lugens (brown planthopper). RNAcentral describes it as "uncharacterized LOC120354018, transcript variant X1". Lineage: Eukaryota; Metazoa; Arthropoda; Insecta; Hemiptera; Delphacidae. The record is from RNAcentral.
UUUCAAGAAUGGACUAUAAACGUAGUCAUUCCCUACCAAGGAAUCAGGAGUUUCGAAAAUAUGCCACCACAGCUCCCUCCCAGUAGACAAUCAUGUGAGAACUACACUGAAAAUACGACGUAUUGGGAAGCAAAUAUAUAAUGGAGAAUCAGCAAAUAUUUAUAAAGAGCCACAACACGACGAGCCCGCCAGACCUCUACGUUCGAGGAAAAGGCGAAACAGCGAAGACAAAGAAGGAGAGGGUCGUGUGGGGUCGGCUGGGCGGUUACCCCUUUUGGUGCGCCAGAGUAGCCGCCGACGAGUCAGGCAACUACAAGCGCCAACAACCCAGGCCACAAUAAAAAAAAACAAUGAAGCCACAAAGGUGCCUAAAAGACUACUGGCGAAAUGGCAGGCAUCCAUGGAUGCUGCCAUGAGACUUAUGCUGCAACAAGAGGCAGAAGAUUCUGAACUCCCUGAAGAUGGCGAAUGUUAGAGUGCUGUACAUUGAAGUCAAGAAGCUGAAAAUUGCUGAAAAAGAAAACUGUCUACAUUCACUAGAUCAACUGGCAAAAUUACUGGCAAUUACAUGAAUAACUGGCAAGCUUAGAAUUUGAAAUUUUAUGACAAGCUUACUGCAUGCUGCUACUGUGCCUGGAACUG